This 439-nucleotide ribosomal RNA is filed under the name uncultured bacterium. Its description in RNAcentral is "partial 16S ribosomal RNA". It matches the Rfam family "Bacterial small subunit ribosomal RNA", at positions 338 to 795 of the family's 1533-position model. The record is from RNAcentral.
CCUACGGGUGGCAGCAGUGGGGAAUAUUGCACAAUGGGGGAAACCCUGAUGCAGCGACGCCGCGUGAGUGAAGAAGUAUCUCGGUAUGUAAAGCUCUAUCAGCAGGGAAGAAAAUUACGGUACCUGACUAAGAAGCCCCGGCUAACUACGUGCCAGCAGCCGCGGUAAUACGUAGGGGGCAAGCGUUAUCCGGAUUUAUUGGGUGUAAAGCGUGCGCAGGCGGAGGUGCAAGUCAGCGGUAAAAGUGCGGGGCUCAACCCCGUGUUGCCGUUGAAACUGCAUCCCUAGAGUGCGCGAGAUGUAUGCGGAAUGCGUGGUGUAGCGGUGAAAUGCAUAGAUAUCACGAAGAACUCCGAUUGCGAAGGCAGCAUACCGGCGCGAAACUGACGCUCAUGCACGAAAGCGUGGGUAGCGAACAGGAUUAGAUACCCGAGUAGUC